This 162-nucleotide small RNA is filed under the name Erwinia rhapontici. Its description in RNAcentral is "Glm Y RNA activator of glmS mRNA". It matches the Rfam family "Glm Y RNA activator of glmS mRNA". From Rfam's summary of the family: This family consists of a number of bacterial RNA genes of around 167 bases in length. The function of this RNA is unknown. The record is from RNAcentral. Lineage: Bacteria; Pseudomonadati; Pseudomonadota; Gammaproteobacteria; Enterobacterales; Erwiniaceae.
AGUGGCUCAUUCACCUGGUUAUGACAGCCCUGCGUAAGCGGACAAGUGCUCAUAACACCCAGAAUGACGCACAAUACGGUGCCUGUCGUCCACCUCACCGAUAAUCGUUCACUCUGUGACGUUAUCAAACAUCGGACGCAACGUUGAGUAAGGCACCACCUA